GAACUACCACACACCAAGGUUAAGGGCCCAAAAUCCUCUAUACCCAAUCAACUUUCAUUGUGACCACAAGCCACCGCCAUUUCCUCAUACAGUUCAACCGUGUCUCAACAAAGCUUCUCACUCUCCCAGCUCGAGGCAUAGCAAUCAGCAAAGGGAGUCAUUUUAAUACUAUUCUCGGUUAAAGCAGAGCAUGGGAAGAAGCAAAAAAACAUAGCAAUUGAAUAAAACCUCAAAUGGAGAAAUGAAGGUGACUGGAAGCUGCAACACACAAGACCCUCCUGCAGUCAACUAUCACGCUUGGCUCAAGGAGGAGAGCAAGACACCAACAAUAAAUGGAAGCCACCGCAAGAGAGAAAGGGGGUGAGAAUUUUUACUUCUGUAAAGGGAGAAAAGGGAAUUGCAAGGAGAAAAACUUGUUGUAAUUUUCAGGGCUUGAAGAAUUUAGCUGUAUUUUGGCACUGAGCUAUUAAUAGUAGGCAACACUGAUCUUAAUUAUCUGUGUAAGUGUAAGUUCUCAUUGUGCAAUCUCUAUGUGAGGAAUAUGUUCCAUGUGAUUGAUUCUUCUGAUUUUCCCUGAAUCAUCCUCCCUUUUUUUUUUUUUUUAUUGCUUUUGAGUUGUUAUUAGUUUUGGUUUGUUUGUUGUUUGCUACUAUUGCGAUUUAUUCGGUUAUUGCCAGUUACUUGUUUGAUAAAUAUCUAGACUAGUUGAUUUGGCUAAACCUCAGGUCUUCAACACUGUCCUUUGAUUGAUUGUGUAUAUGUUCUCUGUAUGUCUGAGUUGAA
Molecule: long non-coding RNA, 783 nt
Filed under: Glycine max (soybean)
Lineage: Eukaryota; Viridiplantae; Streptophyta; Magnoliopsida; Fabales; Fabaceae
Description: long non-coding RNA (GMAX_LNC002627)
Source: RNAcentral